This is a long non-coding RNA of Mesocricetus auratus (golden hamster), 285 nucleotides long. RefSeq lists it as uncharacterized. The transcript is spliced from 3 exons. The record is from RefSeq and is a predicted model, not a curated record. NCBI's taxonomy places the organism in Eukaryota, Metazoa, Chordata, Mammalia, Rodentia, Cricetidae.
GAAAGACAAGAGAGUCGACAUGUGACGCCAUAGGGGUAAGAAGCCGGGAACUAUUCUCCGUCAGGAGCUAUGACAAGAGUGAAAAUUGGGAAACAAAAAGCAGUCUUCAAUCCAGCAGCAUGGCCUCCCUGAGGAUCAAGAUGGAAAUGAAGCUGGGUCCUGACCUCAUGGAUCAAAGUCAACAUUUUAACAAGAUCUCCCAGAUUCCUGCUGUGAGUUCCUGCCCUUAUUUUCCUUCAUAAUGUACUAUAAGGUGUAAUAUGGAAUAAACCCUUUCCUCCCAAA